GUUCCCUGGGCCUGUGCCCAGCUGCCACUAUUCCUGUCCCUCAGCAGAAAGGGCACCCAUGCAGGGCAAGGUCCUUUCCUCAUGUGGAAACUUGGAUUUUCCUUGGGGCCUGCAGGACGGACAGUUCCUUGCCUGGGUCCCAGUCUCAUGUGCAGAGCUCUUUAGCUCUGGCUGUCACUGUGUUUUGCCUUUGUUUCCUGUGUGUGCAGAUAGCUCAUUGUCUGAAGCCAAUACCCUUCAGGCUGAGGCUGUCUGAGUUGGGCUGGGAUCUGUCCCAUGUCCAGCAUGUCAUCUAAGCACACGGUAACUGAGGCUUGCCCCAUGGGAGGUGUUUUCCUGGUCACUACGGCAAUCUGAAUAUAGUUCUUAAACUCUGGCCACACAUAACAGAAAAAUAGCCAUUGUAGUCUGAGGACUGACUAUAUUUUGUGCUCUGAUUCUGCAUUGCCAGCUGACGGAGAAGACAUUGACAGAGCAAGCUGACACCACUAAUAAUAUCCCUGCGUAAGCGUGGAAGUGACCGUGCUAAUUUCAAGCUCCAUUAGAAACCAGCUUUGCCAGUGAGGGGAGGCACAAGGCUUGAAGGAUGGGUUAGGAGCCAGCUCUGAGGGAACAGCUGCAGCAGGCAGGAAAGUAAAAACCUCCCUUCUUAAUCAAACUGGGUGGAGAACAGAUGUUUUGGUUCUCUGGCGAUUCCAGGGGAGGCUCGUCCAGGCUGAACUAAAAUCAACAUUUUUUUGAAAAUUUCAGCUAGUUGAAAAGUCAAAAAAUGUCGAUUUGGUUCAAAGCUCAACAUAGUGUGUCGACUGGAUUCGCAGUGUAUCAUGUUGAUGUUGUUAGCAGUGUUGGUGUGUAGCUGUGUUGGUCCCAGGAUUAUGAGAGAGACGAAGUCGCUAAGGUAAUAUCUUUACUGGACCAACUCCUGGUGUGGAAGGCACCAGCUUUCAGACUACACGGGGCCCUUCUUCAGGUCUGUGGAAUGAAUUUUGAUCUUCCAUUUGCUUCUGGGCAUUUGACAAAAGUGGAGGAGGGACAGAUUGACAGAACACUGGUGGGGAGAGACCUUUCACCUGGUGAUUAGGGCAUUUACCUGAGCUGUGGGAGACCCUGAUUCAAUUCCCCGCCCCACCGGAUAUGAGGUGGAAAAGGGAUUUGCAGUUGGGCUAAGGGGACAAUCUGGUGUAGGGCUGCUUCAGUAUCUGCUGUUGAUGCUCUUUCACUUUGCAUCAGAUGAGUAGGGAUUGGAGCAGGGACCUAAGUCUGGGUGUCCCACGUUCUAGGUGAAGGCCCUAACCCCUAGACUGCAGAGUCCUUCUGUGGCCCAGUAGGGUGACCAGAUGUCCCGAUUUUAUAGGGACUGUCCCGAUUUUGGGGUAUUU
Non-coding RNA from Chelonoidis abingdonii (Abingdon island giant tortoise), 1379 nucleotides. NCBI's taxonomy places the organism in Eukaryota, Metazoa, Chordata, Testudines, Testudinidae. The record is from RefSeq and is a predicted model, not a curated record.